This 837-nucleotide ribosomal RNA is filed under the name uncultured Sphingobacteriales cum 'Crenotrichaceae' bacterium. RNAcentral's name for it is "bacterial SSU rRNA". It matches the Rfam family "Bacterial small subunit ribosomal RNA", at positions 70 to 902 of the family's 1533-position model. The record is from RNAcentral. Lineage: Bacteria; Pseudomonadati; Bacteroidota; Sphingobacteriia; Sphingobacteriales.
CAUGACUGUAGCAAUACAGUUGAUGGCGACCGGCAAACGGGUGCGGAACACGUACACAACCUUCCUUUUAGUGGAGAAUAGCCCAGGGAAACUUGGAUUAAUACUCCGUAACAUAUAGAAGUGGCAUCACUUUUAUAUUAUAGCAGCAAUGCGCUAGAAGAUGGGUGUGCGGCUGAUUAGAUAGUUGGCGGGGUAACGGCCCACCAAGUCGACGAUCAGUAACUGGUGUGAGAGCACGACCAGUCACACGGGCACUGAGACACGGGCCCGACUCCUACGGGAGGCAGCAGUAAGGAAUAUUGGUCAAUGGACGCAAGUCUGAACCAGCCAUGCCGCGUGGAGGAUGAAGGUCCUCUGGAUUGUAAACUUCUUUUAUUUGGGAAGAAACCCAUCUUUUCUAAGAUGGUUGACGGUACCAGAUGAAUAAGCACCGGCUAACUCCGUGCCAGCAGCCGCGGUAAUACGGAGGGUGCAAGCGUUAUCCGGAUUCACUGGGUUUAAAGGGUGCGUAGGUGGGCAAGUAAGUCAGUGGUGAAAUCUCCGGGCUUAACCCGGAAACUGCCAUUGAUACUAUUUGUCUUGAAUACUGUGGAGGUCAGCGGAAUAUGUCAUGUAGCGGUGAAAUGCUUAGAUAUGACAUAGAACACCAAUUGCGAAGGCAGCUGGCUACACAAAUAUUGACACUGAGGCACGAAAGCGUGGGGAUCAAACAGGAUUAGAUACCCUGGUAGUCCACGCCCUAAACUAUGGAUACUCGACAUUUGCGAUAAACUGCAAGUGUCUGAGCGAAAGCAUUAAGUAUCCCACCUGGGAAGUACGAUCGCAAGAUUGAAACUC